GGUGCAUGUGCUCGGCCCCGCUCUCAAAUCCACUCAACACCUGUGCACUUUCAAAGUUGUAGUUCCCCUUCGUUGAAGGAGCGAGAAGUGAGCCAGCAAUGGCUUGCUUUUGGAGCUACGCUUUGCCAUUAUCACAAACCAUUAGCUCUGUCUUGUAGAAUGUAACUUAGCCUUCUCUGAGGGUGAAAUGUAAUACAACUUUCAACAACGGAUCUCUUGGCUCUCGCAUCGAUGAAGAACGCAGCGAAAUGCGAUAAGUAAUGUGAAUUGCAGAAUUCAGUGAAUCAUCGAAUCUUUGAACGCACCUUGCGCUCCUUGGUAUUCCGAGGAGCAUGCCUGUUUGAGUGUCGUGAAAUUAUCAACUCCCUUUUUCUUUGUUGAAAAGGGUGAGCUUGGACUUGGAGACUGCUGGUGUCUGUCAGCUUCUCUUGAAUGCAUUAGCUGGACCUAUGAUUUGCAGCAUAUAUGCGGUGUGAUAAUGUCGUCACUGCAUCGCUCGAGUCGAAUCUGGCUUCUAAUUGUCUCUCUGAGACAGCUUUGAUCAAUCUGACCUCAAAUCAGGUAGGACUACCCGCUGAACUUAAGCAUAUCAAUAAGCGGAGGAA
The sequence is a ribosomal RNA, 605 nucleotides long. The stretch from base 197 to 350 matches the Rfam family "5.8S ribosomal RNA".